Molecule: non-coding RNA, 29 nt
Filed under: Homo sapiens (human)
Lineage: Eukaryota; Metazoa; Chordata; Mammalia; Primates; Hominidae
Source: RNAcentral
UGGACAGAGACAGAGAAAAUGCGAGCCUG